UACGGAGGGUGCGAGCGUUGAUCGGAAUUACUGGGCGUAAAGCGCGCGUAGGCGGUUGUUUAAGUUGGUUGUGAAAGCCUCGGGCUCAACCUGGGAGGUGCAUUCAGAACUGGACGACUAGAGUACGAGUGAGGGUUGUGGAAUUUCCUGUGUAGCGGUGAAAUGCGUAGAUAUAGGAAGGAACAUCAGUGGCGAAGGCGACUGCCUGGCUCGAUACUGACGCUGAGGUGCGAAAGCGUGGGGAGCAAACAGG
Molecule: unclassified non-coding RNA, 253 nt
Filed under: uncultured Cellvibrionales bacterium
Lineage: Bacteria; Pseudomonadati; Pseudomonadota; Gammaproteobacteria; Cellvibrionales
Description: contains 16S-23S intergenic spacer region
Rfam family: Bacterial small subunit ribosomal RNA
Source: RNAcentral